AUUGAACGCUGGCGGCAUGCUUUACACAUGCAAGUCGAACGGCAGCGCGGGCUUCGCCCUGGCGGCGAGUGGCGGACGGGUGAGUAAUGCAUCGGAACGUGCCCAGUAGUGGGGGAUAGCCCGGCGAAAGCCGGAUUAAUACCGCAUACGACCUGAGGGUGAAAGCGGGGGACCGAAAGGCCUUGCGAUAUUGGAGCGGCCGAUGUCGGAUUAGCUGGUUGGUGGGGUAAAGGCUUACCAAGGCGACGAUCCGUAGCUGGUCUGAGAGGACGACCAGCCACACUGGGACUGAGACACGGCCCAGACUCCUACGGGAGGCAGCAGUGGGGAAUUUUGGACAAUGGGGGCAACCCUGAUCCAGCCAUGCCGCGUGCGUGAAGAAGGCCUUCGGGUUGUAAACCGCUUUUGUUCGGGAAGAAAUCCUCUGGGCUAAUACCCCGGGGGGAUGACGGUACCGGAAGAAUAAGCACCGGCUAACUUCGUG
RNAcentral lists this ribosomal RNA (484 nucleotides) under uncultured bacterium. Its description in RNAcentral is "partial 16S ribosomal RNA". It matches the Rfam family "Bacterial small subunit ribosomal RNA", at positions 28 to 507 of the family's 1533-position model. The record is from RNAcentral.